CCUACGGGAGGCUGCAGUAGGGAAUCUUCCACAAUGGGCGAAAGCCUGAUGGAGCAACGCCGCGUGGGUGAAGAAGGUCUUAGGAUCGUAAAACCCUGUUGUUAGAGAAGAAAGUGCGUGAGAGUAACUGUUCACGUUUCGACGGUAUCUAACCAGAAAGCCAUGGAUAACUACGUGCCAGCAGCCGCGGUAAUACGUAGGUGGCAAGCGUUAUCCGGAUUUAUUGGGCGUAAAGGGAACGCAGGCGGUCUUUUAAGUCUGAUGUGAAAGCCUUCGGCUUAACCGGAGUAGUGCAUUGGAAACUGGGAGACGUGAGUGCAGAAGAGGAGAGUGGAACUCCAUGUGUAGCGGUGAAAUGCGUAGAUAUAUGGAAGAACACCAGUGGCGAAAGCGGCUCUCUGGUCUGGAACUGACGCUGAGGUUCGAAAGCGUGGGUAGCAAACAGGAUUAGAUACCCGAGUAGUC
This 465-nucleotide ribosomal RNA is filed under the name uncultured bacterium. Its description in RNAcentral is "partial 16S ribosomal RNA". It matches the Rfam family "Bacterial small subunit ribosomal RNA", at positions 338 to 795 of the family's 1533-position model. The record is from RNAcentral.